Molecule: ribosomal RNA, 406 nt
Filed under: uncultured bacterium
Lineage: Bacteria
Description: partial 16S ribosomal RNA
Rfam family: Bacterial small subunit ribosomal RNA
Source: RNAcentral
AUCGAACGCUGGCGGCAGGCCUAAUACAUGCAAGUCGAGCGGAGCGGCGGACGGGGGAGUAAUGCCUAGGAAUCUGCCUGGUAGUGGCGGAUAACGUCCGGAAACGGGCGCUAUACCGCAUACUAUCAGAUGAGCCUAGGUCGGAUUAGCUAGUGGGUGGGGAAAAGGCCUACCAAGGCGACGAUCCGUAACUGGUCUGAGCGGAUGAUCAGUCACACUGGAACGGAGACACGGUCCAGACUCUUACGGGGGGCAGCAGUGGGGAAUAUUGGACAAUGGGCGAAAGCCUGAUGCAGCCAUGCCGCGUGUGUGAAGAAGGUCUUCGGAUUGUAAAGCACUUUAAGUUGGGAGGCGUUACCCACAGAAGAAGCACCGGCUAACUUCGUGCCAGCCGCCGCGGUAAUAC